Molecule: ribosomal RNA, 137 nt
Filed under: uncultured bacterium
Lineage: Bacteria
Description: partial 16S ribosomal RNA
Rfam family: Bacterial small subunit ribosomal RNA
Source: RNAcentral
UGGGGAAUAUUGCACAAUGGGGGAAACCCUGAUGCAGCGACGCCGCGUGAAGGAAGAAGUAUCUCGGUAUGUAAACUUCUAUCAGCAGGGAAGAUAGUGACGGUACCUGACUAAGAAGCCCCGGNUAACUACGUGCC